GUGCUCACUUUGGCAGCACAUAUACUAAAAUUGGAUACAGAGAUAGAAGAUUAGCAUGACCCCUGCGCAAGGAUGACACACAAAUUUGUGAAGUGUUUCAUAUUUUU
Molecule: small nuclear RNA, 107 nt
Organism: Phascolarctos cinereus (koala)
Lineage: Eukaryota; Metazoa; Chordata; Mammalia; Diprotodontia; Phascolarctidae
Source: Ensembl